GCACCUAUAGCUCAAUUGGAUAGAGCACCUGACUACGGAUCAGGAGGUUUGGGG
Molecule: transfer RNA, 54 nt
Filed under: Candidatus Latescibacterota bacterium
Lineage: Bacteria; Pseudomonadati; Candidatus Latescibacterota
Description: tRNA-Arg
Rfam family: tRNA
About the family: Transfer RNA (tRNA) molecules are approximately 80 nucleotides in length. Their secondary structure includes four short double-helical elements and three loops (D, anti-codon, and T loops).
Source: RNAcentral